RNAcentral lists this ribosomal RNA (358 nucleotides) under uncultured bacterium. Its description in RNAcentral is "bacterial SSU rRNA". It matches the Rfam family "Bacterial small subunit ribosomal RNA", at positions 335 to 683 of the family's 1533-position model. The record is from RNAcentral.
ACUCCUACGGGAGGCAGCAGUGGGGAAUAUUGCACAAUGGGCGCAAGCCUGAUGCAGCCAUGCCGCGUGUGUGAAGAAGGCCUUCGGGUUGUAAAGCACUUUCAGUCGUGAGGAAGGUAGUGUAGUUAAUAGCUGCAUUAUUUGUACGUUAGCGACAGAAGAAGCACCGGCUAACUCCGUGCCAGCAGCCGCGGUAAUACGGAGGGUGCGAGCGUUAAUCGGAAUUACUGGGCGUAAAGCGCAUGCAGGUGGUUUGUUAAGUCAGAUGUGAAAGCCCGGGGCGUCAACCUCGGAAUAGCAUUUGAAACUGGCAGACUAGAGUACUGUAGAGGGGGUUAGAAUUUCAGGUGUAGCGGUG